UACGUAGGGGGCUAGCGUUGUCCGGAAUCAUUGGGCGUAAAGCGCGUGUAGGCGGUCCGAUAAGUCCGCUGUGAAAGUCGAGGGCUCAACCCUCGAAUGCCGGUGGAUACUGUCGGGCUUGAGUACGGGAGAGGCGAGUGGAAUUCCUGGUGUAGCGGUGAAAUGCGCAGAUAUCAGGAGGAACACCGAUUGCGAAGGCAGCUCGCUGGAACGUUACUGACGCUGAGGCACGAAAGCUAGGGGAGCAAACAGG
Molecule: ribosomal RNA, 253 nt
Filed under: uncultured bacterium
Lineage: Bacteria
Description: partial 16S ribosomal RNA
Rfam family: Bacterial small subunit ribosomal RNA
Source: RNAcentral